RNAcentral lists this small RNA (134 nucleotides) under Caldanaerobius fijiensis. RNAcentral describes it as "c-di-AMP sequence". It matches the Rfam family "c-di-AMP riboswitch aptamer (ydaO/yuaA leader)". Rfam says of the family: This family represents a conserved RNA structure found upstream of the ydaO and yuaA genes in Bacillus subtilis and related genes in other bacteria. The ydaO/yuaA element is thought to act as a genetic "off" switch for the ydaO and yuaA genes in its native state. Lineage: Bacteria; Bacillati; Bacillota; Clostridia; Thermoanaerobacterales; Thermoanaerobacteraceae. RNAcentral also lists the same sequence under 1 other name. The record is from RNAcentral.
UGAAAAUAAUAGCCGAAUCCGUAAAAGGUACGGGGGAACCUAUAUGAAGGGGUGAAUCCAUAACAAAAUUAUGGUAGGGCAGCUUCCUUUCCCGAACCCGUCAGCUAACCCCGGAGGCUAAAGGAAGGAGAAAA